This 1455-nucleotide ribosomal RNA is filed under the name uncultured organism. RNAcentral describes it as "partial small subunit ribosomal RNA". It matches the Rfam family "Bacterial small subunit ribosomal RNA". The record is from RNAcentral.
GACGAACGCUGGCGGCGUGCUUAACACAUGCAAGUCGAACGGAAAGGCCCUGCUUUUGUGGGGUGCUCGAGUGGCGAACGGGUGAGUAACACGUGAGUAACCUGCCCUUGACUUUGGGAUAACUUCAGGAAACUGGGGCUAAUACCGGAUAGGAGCUCCUGCUGCAUGGUGGGGGUUGGAAAGUUUCGGCGGUUGGGGAUGGACUCGCGGCUUAUCAGCUUGUUGGUGGGGUAGUGGCUUACCAAGGCUUUGACGGGUAGCCGGCCUGAGAGGGUGACCGGCCACAUUGGGACUGAGAUACGGCCCAGACUCCUACGGGAGGCAGCAGUGGGGAAUAUUGCACAAUGGGCGGAAGCCUGAUGCAGCAACGCCGCGUGCGGGAUGACGGCCUUCGGGUUGUAAACCGCUUUCGCCUGUGACGAAGCGUGAGUGACGGUAAUGGGUAAAGAAGCACCGGCUAACUACGUGCCAGCAGCCGCGGUGAUACGUAGGGUGCGAGCGUUGUCCGGAUUUAUUGGGCGUAAAGGGCUCGUAGGUGGUUGAUCGCGUCGGAAGUGUAAUCUUGGGGCUUAACCCUGAGCGUGCUUUCGAUACGGGUUGACUUGAGGAAGGUAGGGGAGAAUGGAAUUCCUGGUGGAGCGGUGGAAUGCGCAGAUAUCAGGAGGAACACCAGUGGCGAAGGCGGUUCUCUGGGCCUUUCCUGACGCUGAGGAGCGAAAGCGUGGGGAGCGAACAGGCUUAGAUACCCUGGUAGUCCACGCUGUAAACGGUGGGUACUAGGUGUGGGGUCCAUUCCACGGGUUCCGUGCCGUAGCUAACGCUUUAAGUACCCCGCCUGGGGAGUACGGCCGCAAGGCUAAAACUCAAAGGAAUUGACGGGGCCCCGCACAAGCGGCGGAGCAUGCGGAUUAAUUCGAUGCAACGCGUAGAACCUUACCUGGGUUUGACAUGGAUCGGGAGUGCUCAGAGAUGGGUGUGCCUCUUUUGGGGUCGGUUCACAGGUGGUGCAUGGCUGUCGUCAGCUCGUGUCGUGAGAUGUUGGGUUAAGUCCCGCAACGAGCGCAACCCUUGUUCACUGUUGCCAGCACGUUAUGGUGGGGACUCAGUGGAGACCGCCGGGGUCAACUCGGAGGAAGGUGGGGAUGACGUCAAGUCAUCAUGCCCCUUAUGUCCAGGGCUUCACGCAUGCUACAAUGGCUGGUACAGAGAGUGGCGAGCCUGUGAGGGUGAGCGAAUCUCGGAAAGCCGGUCUCAGUUCGGAUUGGGGUCUGCAACUCGACCUCAUGAAGUCGGAGUCGCUAGUAAUCGCAGAUCAGCAACGCUGCGGUGAAUACGUUCCCGGGGCUUGUACACACCGCCCGUCAAGUCAUGAAAGUUGGUAACACCCGAAGCCGGUGGCCUAACCGUUGUGGGGGAGCCGUCGAAGGUGGGACUGGUGAUUAGGACUAAGUAGUA